Molecule: ribosomal RNA, 802 nt
Filed under: uncultured Staphylococcus sp.
Lineage: Bacteria; Bacillati; Bacillota; Bacilli; Caryophanales; Staphylococcaceae
Description: bacterial SSU rRNA
Rfam family: Bacterial small subunit ribosomal RNA
Source: RNAcentral
GGCGUGCCUAAUACAUGCAAGUCAAGCGAACAGACGAGGAGCUUGCUCCUCUGACGUUAGCGGCGGACGGGUGAGUAACACGUGGAUAACCUACCUAUAAGACUGGGAUAACUUCGGGAAACCGGAGCUAAUACCGGAUAAUAUAUUGAACCGCAUGGUUCAAUAGUGAAAGACGGUUUUGCUGUCACUUAUAGAUGGAUCCGCGCCGCAUUAGCUAGUUGGUAAGGUAACGGCUUACCAAGGCAACGAUGCGUAGCCGACCUGAGAGGGUGAUCGGCCACACUGGAACUGAGACACGGUCCAGACUCCUACGGGAGGCAGCAGUAGGGAAUCUUCCGCAAUGGGCGAAAGCCUGACGGAGCAACGCCGCGUGAGUGAUGAAGGUCUUCGGAUCGUAAAACUCUGUUAUUAGGGAAGAACAAAUGUGUAAGUAACUAUGCAUGUCUUGACGGUACCUAAUCAGAAAGCCACGGCUAACUACGUGCCAGCAGCCGCGGUAAUACGUAGGUGGCAAGCGUUAUCCGGAAUUAUUGGGCGUAAAGCGCGCGUAGGCGGUUUUUUAAGUCUGAUGUGAAAGCCCACGGCUCAACCGUGGAGGGUCAUUGGAAACUGGAAAACUUGAGUGCAGAAGAGGAAAGUGGAAUUCCAUGUGUAGCGGUGAAAUGCGCAGAGAUAUGGAGGAACACCAGUGGCGAAGGCGACUUUCUGGUCUGUAACUGACGCUGAUGUGCGAAAGCGUGGGGAUCAAACAGGAUUAGAUACCCUGGUAGUCCACGCCGUAAACGAUGAGUGCUAAGUGUUA